CAGCAUGCCGCGUGAGUGAAGAAGGCCCUUGGGUCGUAAAGCUCUUUUAUGGGGGAAGAUGAUGACGGUACCCCAAGAAUAAGCACCGGCUAACUAUGUGCCAGCAGCCGCGGUAAUACAUAGGGUGCGAGCGUUGUUCGGAAUUACUGGGCGUAAAGGGCGCGCAGGCGGAAUAGUAAGUCGGAGGUGAAAGCCCGGGGCUCAACCCCGGAGGGUCUUUCGAAACUGCUAAUCUAGAGAGGGUCAGGGGCCGGCAGAAUUCCUGGUGUAGAGGUGAAAUUCGUAGAUAUCAGGAGGAAUACCGGUGGCGAAGGCGGCCGGCUGGGGCCACUCUGACGCUGAGGCGCGAAAGCGUGGGGAGCAAACAGGAUUAGAUACCCUGGUAGUCCACGCCGUAAACGAUGAGCACUGGACGUCCGGAGGGUUCGACC
RNAcentral lists this ribosomal RNA (431 nucleotides) under uncultured SAR324 cluster bacterium. Its description in RNAcentral is "bacterial SSU rRNA". It matches the Rfam family "Bacterial small subunit ribosomal RNA", at positions 389 to 837 of the family's 1533-position model. The record is from RNAcentral. Lineage: Bacteria; Deltaproteobacteria.